RNAcentral lists this transfer RNA (89 nucleotides) under Chlamydiales bacterium. RNAcentral's name for it is "tRNA-Ser". It matches the Rfam family "tRNA". From Rfam's summary of the family: Transfer RNA (tRNA) molecules are approximately 80 nucleotides in length. Their secondary structure includes four short double-helical elements and three loops (D, anti-codon, and T loops). The record is from RNAcentral. Lineage: Bacteria; Pseudomonadati; Chlamydiota; Chlamydiia; Chlamydiales. RNAcentral also lists the same sequence under 1 other name.
GGAAAGAUGGCUGAGUGGCCGAAGGCGCUUCCCUGCUAAGGAAGUGUACCCUUAAACGGGUACCGAGGGUUCGAAUCCCUCUCUUUCCG